AUACUUACCUGGCAGGGAAGGUGCCAUGAUCAUGAAGAUGGUUUUCCCAGAGCGAGGCUUACCCGCUGCACUCCAGGUAUGCUGACCCCUGCGAUUUCUCCAAAUGCAGGAAACUCAACUGCAUAAUUUGUGGUAGUGGGGGAUUUCGUUCCUGCUUCCGCUGU
Molecule: small nuclear RNA, 164 nt
Organism: Nomascus leucogenys (northern white-cheeked gibbon)
Lineage: Eukaryota; Metazoa; Chordata; Mammalia; Primates; Hylobatidae
Gene: U1
Rfam family: U1 spliceosomal RNA
About the family: U1 is a small nuclear RNA (snRNA) component of the spliceosome (involved in pre-mRNA splicing). Its 5' end forms complementary base pairs with the 5' splice junction, thus defining the 5' donor site of an intron.
Source: Ensembl